GGCAACCUGGUGGCGAGUGGCGAACGGGUGAGUAAUACAUCGGAACGUGCCCAAUCGUGGGGGAUAACGUAGCGAAAGUUACGCUAAUACCGCAUACGAUCUACGGAUGAAAGCGGGGGAUCGCAAGACCUCGCGCGAAUGGAGCGGCCGAUGUCAGAUUAGGUAGUUGGUGGGGUAAAGGCUCACCAAGCCAAUGAUCUGUAGCUGGUCUGAGAGGACGACCAGCCACACUGGAACUGAGACACGGUCCAGACUCCUACGGGAGGCAGCAGUGGGGAAUUUUGGACAAUGGGCGCAAGCCUGAUCCAGCCAUUCCGCGUGCAGGAUGAAGGCCCUCGGGUUGUAAACUGCUUUUGUACGGAACGAAACGGUCUGCCCUAAUACGGCGGGCUAAUGACGGUACCGUAAGAAUAAGCACCGGCUAACUACGUGCCAGCAGCCGCGGUAAUACGUAGGGUGCAAGCGUUAAUCGGAAUUACUGGGCGUAAAGCGUGCGCAGGCGGUUAUAUAAGACAGAUGUGAAAUCCCCGGGCUCAACCUGGGAACUGCAUUUGUGACUGUAUGGCUAGAGUACGGCAGAGGGGGAUGGAAUUCCGCGUGUAGCAGUGAAAUGCGUAGAUAUGCGGAGGAACACCGAUGGCGAAGGCAAUCCCCUGGGCCUGUACUGACGCUCAUGCACGAAAGCGUGGGGAGCAAACAGGAUUAGAUACCCUGGUAGUCCACGCCCUAAACGAUGUCAACUGGUUGUUGGGUCUUCACU
Molecule: ribosomal RNA, 760 nt
Filed under: uncultured bacterium
Lineage: Bacteria
Description: bacterial SSU rRNA
Rfam family: Bacterial small subunit ribosomal RNA
Source: RNAcentral